Non-coding RNA from Acanthosepion pharaonis, 106 nucleotides. The record is from the annotation of a GenBank genome assembly. Lineage: Eukaryota; Metazoa; Mollusca; Cephalopoda; Sepiida; Sepiidae.
AGGGCCACAUCAUGUUGAAACACCGGUUCUCCUACGAUCACCGAAGUUAAGCAACGUAGAGCCUGCUCAUUACCUAGAUGGAUGACCUCUUGGGAAUACCAGCUGC